GAUGAACGCUGGCGGCGUGCCUAAUACAUGCAAGUCGAGCGAACGGACGAGAAGCUUGCUUCUCUGAUGUUAGCGGCGGACGGGUGAGUAACACGUGGAUAACCUACCUAUAAGACUGGGAUAACUUCGGGAAACCGGAGCUAAUACCGGAUAAUAUUUUGAACCGCAUGGUUCAAAAGUGAAAGACGGUCUUGCUGUCACUUAUAGAUGGAUCCGCGCUGCAUUAGCUAGUUGGUAAGGUAACGGCUUACCAAGGCAACGAUGCACAGCCGACCUGAGAGGGUGAUCGGCCACACUGGAACUGAGACACGGUCCAGACUCCUACGGGAGGCAGCAGUAGGGAAUCUUCCGCAAUGGGCGAAAGCCUGACGGAGCAACGCCGCGUGAGUGAUGAAGGUCUUCGGAUCGUAAAACUCUGUUAUUAGGGAAGAACAUAUGUGUAAGUAACUGUGCACAUCUUGACGGUACCUAAUCAGAAAGCCACGGCUAACUACGUGCCAGCAGCCGCGGUAAUACGUAGGUGGCAAGCGUUAUCCGGAAUUAUUGGGCGUAAAGCGCGCGUAGGCGGUUUUUUAAGUCUGAUGUGAAAGCCCACGGCUCAACCGUGGAGGGUCAUUGGAAACUGGAAAACUUGAGUGCAGAAGAGGAAAGUGGAAUUCCAUGUGUAGCGGUGAAAUGCGCAGAGAUAUGGAGGAACACCAGUGGCGAAGGCGACUUUCUGGUCUGUAACUGACGCUGAUGUGCGAAAGCGUGGGGAUCAAACAGGAUUAGAUACCCUGGUAGUCCACGCCGUAAACGAUGAGUGCUAAGUGUUAGGGGGUUUCCGCCCCUUAGUGCUGCAGCUAACGCAUUAAGCACUCCGCCUGGGGAGUACGACCGCAAGGUUGAAACUCAAAGGAAUUGACGGGGACCCGCACAAGCGGUGGAGCAUGUGGUUUAAUUCGAAGCAACGCGAAGAACCUUACCAAAUCUUGACAUCCUUUGACAACUCUAGAGAUAGAGCCUUCCCCUUCGGGGGGCAAAGUGACAGGUGGUGCAUGGUUGUCGUCAGCUCGUGUCGUGAGAUGUUGGGUUAAGUCCCGCAACGAGCGCAACCCUUAAGCUUAGUUGCCAUCAUUAAGUUGGGCACUCUAAGUUGACUGCCGGUGACAAACCGGAGGAAGGUGGGGAUGACGUCAAAUCAUCAUGCCCCUUAUGAUUUGGGCUACACACGUGCUACAAUGGACAAUACAAAGGGCAGCGAAACCGCGAGGUCAAGCAAAUCCCAUAAAGUUGUUCUCAGUUCGGAUUGUAGUCUGCAACUCGACUACAUGAAGCUGGAAUCGCUAGUAAUCGUAGAUCAGCAUGCUACGGUGAAUACGUUCCCGGGUCU
Molecule: ribosomal RNA, 1372 nt
Filed under: uncultured bacterium
Lineage: Bacteria
Description: bacterial SSU rRNA
Rfam family: Bacterial small subunit ribosomal RNA
Source: RNAcentral